CGGGCAGGCGGUUUGCUAAGACUGGUGUGAAAUGUCCCGGCUCAACCGGGAAGGGCCACUGGUGACUGGCGAGCUGGAGGGCGGUAGAGGAGCGUGGAAUUCCGGGUGGAGUGGUGAAAUGCGUAGAGAUCCGGAGGAACACCAGAGGCGAAAGCGGCGCUCCGGGCCGUACCUGACGCUGAACCGCGAAAGCCAGGGUAGCAAC
Molecule: ribosomal RNA, 205 nt
Filed under: uncultured bacterium
Lineage: Bacteria
Description: partial 16S ribosomal RNA
Rfam family: Bacterial small subunit ribosomal RNA
Source: RNAcentral